Molecule: long non-coding RNA, 3526 nt
Organism: Mus musculus (house mouse)
Lineage: Eukaryota; Metazoa; Chordata; Mammalia; Rodentia; Muridae
Product: predicted gene, 33514
Exons: 3
Source: RefSeq, a predicted model, not a curated record
GCUGUCAGAGCAAUCUUUUAAAAAUGCAGCUAUUAUUCUACAGCUCCCUGCUUUAAAUGCUCCAUAUUGUUCUUGGGAUAAAGAUCAAAUUCCUGAGUGUAGCUUAUGGAGCUCGGCUUAUUCUGGCCUCCAUGUGCUUCUCCAGACCGUCAUUCCACCCUUUCCCUAGGGAACUGGCUUGGAGGUUGCCAGUCCCCAUUUUGUUUCCCCUCCAGGGCUUUGUACAUGCUCCUUGUUCUACUCUCCAUGCUCUAAAUAUUUUCUGCUCAUCUAUGAUCUCUGCCUAAAGUUCUCUUCUUUGAAAGAUCUUUCUUAUUCCCAUGAAUGAAAUCUACAUCUCCAACCAAUUUGACCUUCAGUUUUGGAAAUACCCAUCAUGCCUGUAAUGUUUGCUCACUUCUCAUCUCUUCCCCACAGACUGCUAUCUAAGGCCCACCUGCUACUGCAGCUUAGAAAGAAGCCUUCCUGAGAAAGUGCUUCUCUCAAGGAUAAGUGGCAAGCAAGGACAGUGUGUGGCUGCAGUAUGAGGUCAUGAGGACAACUGGGAAGUGAGAAGGAGCAGGAGAUUCCAGACAGGAGAUAUUGGAAACUAUCAAGUUACAAAUUCUAAACGCUAAGCUUUUGAUGAAUUAUCAUUUCCCUUAAUUUUUCUCAUAGAUUUAACUUCACAUCUUGAGAAUUUUUAAUACUUUGGGGAUUUUAAAAAUAUAUCAGGUGUAAAUACUUAAAUAUGCCUACUUGUUCUACUGCCAGAGUGUAAAAUUGGCACAGUAUGUCUAAGAGGAAAGUUUUAAUAAGUAUAAAAAAUUUUGUUUUUAUGCUUCUACUUAUGGAUUCGACCUGUGAAAUUCUAUCCUAUGGAAGCAUAAGUUUUUAGAAGCUCUUAGGACAUAAGAAAAAAUCUGCUGUGCAUUGAAAGAUAGAGGUCACAAAAUGAUAUGAUUCUUAAUUAUAUAACACAAGCAAACCUUCACAAGUAUAGAUAUGUGUUUGUAACUGUACAGUAAAAUCACCUCAAAUCGUUCUUCCCUUGGCAAUGGUUUUAGUGGAACAGAAAAGACAUAACCAAACAUUAACUGUCACCUUGUCAUACCCCCUUCUGCCACCUCACACCACAUACACCAUCCCUGCAGUUUUCUAAAACUGACUUGAGUUCCACAAGUUCUCAUUGUUGAGAGAAAGCAACCACUAUGGUUCAAUCCUUCUAGUUAGGGAUUUUAGGUUAGAAGUGAUUAUUUAGUCAAGGGCCAAGCCAUUUCCUGGGUGACAUUAUCUUAGCCUCUAAAAAGGUAAUUAGGAUCAUAGUAUUUAAGGUGUACACCACUAUCCUUUGGUGUGCAAAUAUUUAGUGAGCUGAUUAAUAGCAUCAAAGUAAUUAACAGAUCUAUCCCGUCAGUUAUUUUUCUGUUGUAUCUGAUGAAAACAUUCACAGUAUAUUGUUCUUAGCAAAUUCUGAGCACACAAUCUGAUGUUAUCUAUAGUCCCCAAGCUCUACACUAGGUCUCCAGGACUUACUCAUCCUAUAGGCUGAACUGAAAUUUUGUAGACUCCGGCAAACAUUACUCAGCUAUCUCACCAUCUUCAAUGUCUCACUGGCUUCCAUGUCUGCUCCAGAGGUAGGCAACUAACUUCUUUUGAUGCAGUCAAGAGAAGCACAGGCUUUUAUUCAAUGUUUGGAUGGGACAUAUCCAUCUUCUCCAGACACCAGUGUAUUAUCACGUGGUCCAGGUACCACAACCAGCAACCAUAUAGUUGGAGAAGACUGGAGGAUAUUUUGUGACCACAGCAGAAGCCAGCAUUAUAAGGAACAUACAGAAGGCAGAACAGAGGGGUGGAAUGAGACCUGUGUCUGGUGAUAUUUGUAGCUUAUUUGUGUAGAUGGGCAGAUGCAUGGGCCAUCUGAGGUCUGCCUUCAUCCUGGGAUGGUUUGUACAUAAUGCAAACAAUUUAAGGUAGACAACAUUGAGGCUGCUAUCAUGCAAAAGCAAAACAAAUACAGCAAAUGAAUUGAUUUGAAUUUUAUUUUUUGUGAAUUACAGUAUUUUAAAAAGAUGUAUUAUGAAGACACAUUGCUUAUAUAAUUGGAGAAUAUCAUUUAUUUUAAAAUUGCCAUUAACCAAAAGUUGCUGAAGAUCCUUUAAGCUACAGUGCCUUCACUCCUUACCAUCCUGCUUCUCCCCUACUUCCUUCAAGCCUCUUCCUGAAAUUCCCACAAGAGCCAGAGAAGCCAACAAAAUGUCAAAAUUUUGUCACUCCAUUAAUUAGGAGACUUGAAUUGGGUGAGGCACAACCUACAUUCUGUGAAAUUGAUUGGCAAGUGACUGGCAGAGCCACCCUGUAGCUAACAGGGCAGUGACAGAGAUGGGAUUGAUUACUGUUUGUCAUUAUGUGACUCAGUCUCGUGGCACGGACUCAGGGGAGGAUACACAGACACAUUGACUCUGAUUCGAGAAGCCAGCAACAACAGGACCCUUGAUGGCUGGGUAGUGUGGGCUAGUGGAGGAAGUGCAUAUCCUCAAAGUUAUAAGUAAACGUAAACAUGGUUCUAAAUUGUUUAGAAGAUGUGAUGGAGAGAAAUGGGGGUGAGCCUGUCCAAGUAUGGACACUUUCUGAGGGAGGAUGUUCUUAGACAAAAGGUUAAUGGCAAGAGAGAAGGAAUUCUACUGAGAAAGUGAUUUAGAAACAGAGUGGAGGGAAAGAGACCUGUGGCCAAACACCAAACACAGUUAAGCUGUCAUAUACACAGCAGUGGCUAGCACUUCCUGCAGAAGGGUGCUGAGAGCAAAAUGGGACUGAUAGCACUUAUCCACACCAGACUGUUGUCUGCAUCUAGACUGUAGUUGCUGCAGGGCUCCAGGUAGCUAGAUUUAAGGUCUUCAGCUAGACUCACAUCUCUACCAUUGACUUUUCUCUUGCAUGAAAGUGAUGAGAGAUGGAUCAGGAUCCCCUUGGAAUGCAGCCAGUCAGCUGUCACACUUUUCAGAUCUACAGUUGGUCCAUCUACCUGCUCAUCUGCACAUAUCAGCCAAGGAGGGUCUUGUUGUGGGGAAGGCAUCUUCCCAGAGUGGUUCUUAGGGCUUUUGAAGUGAGUUUGUUCUUCCUACAGCUGCUCUGCAGAGGGAUAAAAACCUGGAUUUUAAAGAAGCAAAUGGUCUCUUUUUUUCUUUUUAAACAAAAUUAACUCACAGCUGCAAGCAGCACAAUGAAAGCACAUUUAAAAAUAAUCAGAUGCUUUUUGAGCUCUGUCUUCUGCCUGAACAACUUCAGUCCCAGCCUCUGUGGGUUGGGAUUUAAGGCUGCAGCCUUAGACUCCAAAACAUCCAGGAAUGAAGCAACACCUAGAGCUGUGGCCUCAGAAGAAAGGUGGGCAGUUCUGUGAUGUGGAAGACCCCCAAAACCUUGGCUGUAUUUGUUCUUUUCUAAUCAGGGUGCAUAAAAUAUUUUUGAAUGUCAUUUGGCAGCUGAUAGUUUGCUUUGAAAUUGCCAUUUUAUCAAAUACAUUAAAAAAUGCCCAGUGAUCUUUUUA